GACGAACGCUGGCGGUGUGCGUUCACACAUGCAAGUCGAACGAGGUAGCAAUACCUAGUGGCGGACGGGUGAGUAACACGUGGGAAUCUGCCUUUAGAUGGGGAAUAACGGGCCGAAAGGCUCGCUAAUACCGCAUAUGUGUACGCCUCGACAGGGGGGUACAUGAAAGGAGCAAUCCGUCUGAAGAUGAGCCCGCGCCCGAUUAGCUAGUUGGUAGGGUAAAGCCUACCAAGGCGACGAUCGGUAGCUGGU
Molecule: ribosomal RNA, 252 nt
Filed under: uncultured bacterium
Lineage: Bacteria
Description: partial 16S ribosomal RNA
Rfam family: Bacterial small subunit ribosomal RNA
Source: RNAcentral